This is an RNA transcript of Alosa alosa (allis shad), 5559 nucleotides long. It is a transcript of the gene named integrin alpha-3-like, with no coding region annotated. The transcript is spliced from 28 exons. The record is from RefSeq and is a predicted model, not a curated record. NCBI's taxonomy places the organism in Eukaryota, Metazoa, Chordata, Actinopteri, Clupeiformes, Clupeidae.
GACUACAUCCAGUCCAUAAUUAAUCCGACCCAGUGUCCGCGCUGUCCGCUGUCACUGUCAAGGUGCCCCGGCGGCUCACUGGGAGGGAGUCGGUAACAGUCGUAGCCAGUAAGCCAGUGAUUUCAUUUAUGACUAGGACACACCGGAAGAAUGACUAAUGUGUACACUGACUUAGCAGAGCACGGCUUUGGUGAAUUGUCAGUCCGUUGCACAUGCGGCGCAAGAGACUCCAAAGAGGGGAGAGAGGUGGGAAAACACACCCCUGGCGAGAUUUCAUCUGUGUACAUCCUAGUUUGAGAGUGAACAUUUAAAAAAGUUUCAGAAAAAUAUCUCUCUGAAAAGGAAAGUCAUGGCUUAUUUUCACUUCGGUGGUUUCUCCGUGGAUUUGUCCCUCCUGUUGCUUACCCUGCUGCACGGUACUUUUCGGCCAACGGACGCUUUUAAUUUGGACGUGCGCUUUCCUGUUGUAAAAGAAGGCAAAACCAAUGGCAGUUUAUUUGGGCUGUCGGUGGCCUUUCAUAAACAAACGUUGGGCAAUGAGCGAUACUUGGUUUUGGUUGGAGCACCGAAGGAGACAACAAAGAGUUUCAAUAAGACAGGAGAUGCAUUCUACUGUCCAAUCAGCACAGACACCAAGGACUGUGGCCAGAUGAACCUAAUCACCUCGGGAAAUGAUCGACCUGACGAUACGGAGAUCGUGGACGGGAUGUGGCUGGGAGUGGCGGUGGCGAGUCAGAAUAUUACUAAAGGCCGAGUUUUGGUCUGUGGUCACCGUUAUGUGAAGAAGAUAAACGAGGGCCUUACGUGGGGAAUGAUUGGCCGCUGCUACAUCCGCAGUAACAACAUGGAGUAUGACCCUAAUGACUACCACUGGCAGGACUACUAUGAGGUUUGCUCUCCGCAAGAUGGCCAGAACAUGGAAGGCAUGUGCAACAUGGGCAUCUCUGCUGCCAUUACCGCUGACGAGGUCGUAGUCGGUUCACCAGGCAGUUUUGAUUGGCAAGGAAAUGCGGAUAUCAUUUGGAGAAGCCCACAUAAUUCCUACUCAAUAUCCAAGACAAAUUUCCCAGAAAUUGAUAGACGAAAUAUCUACAUAGGUUACUCGGUGGCCAAGGACAAAGGUCUACUGAGUUUGACCAACGACACCCUGGUGGCAGGAGCUCCUAGGGAUGGACCUGAUAACCUAGCCAGAGGGGCGGUGAGAGUGAAUCUAGUCAGCAAUGUGGACGAUGGUGACCAAACGCUGGGUAAAUCCGCCUACAUUCUGUACGGGGAGCAGGUGGGGUCAUACUUUGGUGGCAGCAUUGCCAUUGCUGACCUCAACAACGACAGUUGGAAAGAUUUAAUUGUGGGAGCUCCCUUCUACUUUGACCGGACCAAAGAGGAAGGAGGGGCCGUCUACAUCUACAUGAAUGAAAAUGGCUCCUUCAAAGACAAGUACGACAUCGCUCUCAAAGGACCUGAGAAAUCUGCGUUCGGAAUGUCAGUGUCCGCCAUUGGCGACAUCAACCAAGAUGGUUUCCAAGACUUUGCAGUCGGUGCCCCCUACCAUGGAACUGGCGCUGUUUUCAUCUGGAUGGGCAGUGAGAAGGGCAUCUCCCCUACGCCCAGCCAGGUGAUCAAAGGCCAGGACAUCAAACACAGUGGCUUCCAGACCUUUGGUUACUCUGUUUCUGGAGGCAUGGACAUCGAUGACAACAAAUAUCCAGACAUAGUGGUGGGCUCGCUGGAUGAGCGUAUUGCUGUGUUAAGGGCUCGUCCAGUCAUCCAUCUUCAGAGUGAUUUAAGUGUGACCCCAAACAUUGUGGAUCCAGACACUUGCAAUGACUGUGUAGAGGCGAAGAUGUGCAUCUCCUACCUCCUCAGUACGGGGGAGAGCAGCAAGAGAAACAUCACUGUGGAGUUCACACUGAUAGCUGACCGGACCAGCCGCAGCCCUCGUCUAGUUUUUUUGGACAAUAUAGCGAAUAUUUAUACUGGGCACUUCUACAUGCCGUCAGAAAACUGCAGGACCUUCAAGCUCCAACUUAAGAAGCCCGUCCGAGACAAGGUGGAGCCUGUCAGCUUCUCCCUCAACAUGUCCCUGUACGAGCCUCAGGCGCGGAGCCGCGGAACACUCCAGAAUCUGGACGCAUACCCCGUGCUGAGCGAGGGGAAGACCGUGGUCAGAAAACAUGAGAUUCACUUCCAGAAGGCAUGCGGCACGGACAACAAGUGCAACAGCAACCUGAAAAUGACUGCCGAGUUUGCCAACUUUGACGAUGACCAGCCUUUCCAAGUUGAAGACGGACACCAGAUCUUCAAAUAUAAUGCUGACGUGAAAAAGCUCAAGAUGCUUAUCAAUGUCACCAACAUCCCAUCAGACGGACGGCUGGCAGAAGACGCCCACAACACCGUGCUGAACAUCACCACCCCCACCUCUCUGCAGUUUUCUGCCGUAAACCCCAAGAAUCUCAUUGAGUGCGAUCUCACAUCAUCAGGUCUCCUCUGUGAGUUUGUGAACCCAGUGCGUACCAAACAAGAGAGUCAAGUUACGAUCAUCUUUGAGACGUUAGGCAUCACUCUGGACACACGAGAGAUCACCACAGAGAUACAGCUUUCUACAUUGAGUGAACAAAGCGCCAUUUCACCAAUAGCAUUGACCCUGAUGGUGGAAUAUUCACUUCAGCCAACAUUCAUCAUAAAUCCCCAGAAUGCCCUGACAUACUUCAGUGGGGAGGUCAAGGGAGAGUCGUUCAUGAAAACACCCAGUGAUGUAGGAAGCCCAGUGACUUUUACCUUUCAUGUGGAGUUGAAAGGGAGGCCACUAGGCAGUCUGGGGACUCUCCAGAUCUCCUUUGCUUGGCCGUUGGAGGUGGAUAAUGGGAAGUGGCUCCUGUAUCUGACAAACAUUACCACAGAGGGCACAUCCAACCAGCUGUGUGUCCCCCCAGGCAAUAUAGUUAAUCCUCUCAAGCUCACGCCGGCAGCUGUCGGGGGCCGUAGGAAGCGAGAGCUGGACUCCCCUGAGGUCAGGGAGGGGAUCCAGGCAGAGCAAGCGUUGGCUCAGGCCCCUUUCAAAGCCAGAGGGACUCGCAAGAAGCUCAUCCUGCUGACUUGUGACGAAGGCGCUAAGUGCCGCACCUUCACCUGCCCCUUAAAGGGGAUGAAAACUCGUGCAGCGGUAACCGUCUACGCCCGGCUAUGGAACAGCACCAUGCUGGAGGAUUACAGUGAUGCUUAUCGAGUGACAGUGCAAGGCCAAGCUACGCUCAACUUACAGACAAGUAAAGCUGUUGUCAUCAUGAAGCCGCAGACACAAACGUUCACCCUGAACAUCGACCCCGAGCUGGAGGAGGAGGCUCCACAGGAGGCUCCCAUCUGGAUCAUUGUGGUGUCGGUCCUCGCCGGAGUCCUCCUGCUCACGCUCAUCAGCCUGCUGCUGUGGAAGUGUGGCUUCUUCCGAAGGGCCAAUACCAGAGAGCUGUAUGAAGCCAAAGCCCAGACGGCGGAGAUGAGGUCUCAGCCCUCUGAGAAGGACCGCCUCACCGAGGACAUCUAACGCCACGCCAUGCCUCACGCUGGUCCUUACACUGUAGUCCUUGGCUUCCCUUGCUCUCCUCACUGACCCCAUGCAGUGCCCUGUGCCUUGUGGCUUCUUCAAGCGAAGCGCCCACUUCAGAGAGAUGCCCACGCACCACGGAGUCCAGAUCCGCAAGGAGCAGCGCUACCGCCUCAGCGAGGGCUUCCUCGUCGAGGAGGACACCGCCAAGAAGCACUGGAUCACCAACUGGUCAGAGAAAACCCGCCGCUGCUUCUAGUGGCUGCGUCCAAAAACACACACCGCCACACAUUCAGCCCUCACACAGGGGGGGAGUCUGGGGUCCAGCCUCACCCGUCUUCACCUUCACGAGGACUCUCGGGCGCAUUACUUGUGUCCAUACACAUGUCAAUCAUGGACUGUCUGUCGUUAACAUGGUGCAGUAAUGGUGUUUAAUGAUAUGGGGUUUUGCAAUGUUAGGGUAAAAGCUACAUGUAUUGUGUGCUACUGCAAUGUUAGGGUAAAAACUGUAUGUGACAUACCAAAUGAAUACAUUUUUUUUAAAUCCCUGGUUAUUUUUUUUUUGUCACUGCUAUGAUAUGCGUGUUUUAGGUGCCUCUAUUAUUCCUAUGUUUGGUUUUGUUUUCUCUUUGACAUACAGUGCCUCUGCGUGUUAUGGUGUGUGCUGAAGCACUCAUCGUCUGUGAUACGCUUUUCACAGUGCAAUAAGGCAUGGUGUGUCCAUCGUGUUUCCCACUGAAUCUUGCUAACUGGAUUUGAAUAUCGCUCAACCAAUGCUGUUCUCAUUGUCAUACUCUUGUGUGUUGAUAUCCAGGACCAAAGCAUUUUUACUGAUUGUGGUCAAGAACAUUAUAAAACCUAAUGAUCUGAUCUUUGCAUCUUUUUGUCUCGUGAAUGAUCAGGAGUCUAAUGGGUAUGUAUAAUUUAAAACAUUUAAAAAAGUAAAGGUAUUGUAUGAUUGCUAAGAUUAAAAUAGGCAAUAGAGCCAGAAAACUUCCUUCAAAACAUAUUUGAAAGAUCAGAACAUUUACUUGAUAUUGCUGAUGAAUCUAUACAGUAAUUCAGAGUCCAUUUGGUAUUACUUCAUCUUUCUAUUAGUCUAUUCAAUGUAUUGUAUGAUUGUAGACAAUUGAAAUGUCUAACAUUUGCACACACUCUCCUCUGCUGUUCCGUUCUGUGGUGUAGAUUGAUUAAUGUUUUUUAAUGAAUCUGUUUAUUUGAAGUCUGUAAAUCAUGCUGUGAUUUGCCUCAUGAUUGAUGAAAUGUUUGUGUCUGUGCCAAAUAAGAGCUCUAUCAGCAGUUUUAUAGAAUCACUGAAUUAUGCCUGCCACUGCCAGUGUUGGAGGGUGAAGUUUCAGCUUUUCCUUAAUUAAUCUGCAGAAAGAAGGUCUCUUCAGCCUACUAACUUGUGCGUUAUUGAUGAGGGGGAAAAAAUCCUGUACCCUAGGUAAUCACGUUUAUAGUCAAUCCUGUUUAAUUUUUCCGAGGUGCUGAAGACUUGUGAAUUGAUUCUGCUCAGAAAAAAACAACAUAUACCAGAGAUGCAUCCGUACAUUACACAGGAUUUGCAUUGCUAAUUCUCUUUUCUAAUGAAAAUACUGUAGUUUCCAAUUCCGAUGCCAGAUGUAAAAAGCCUAUAUUAUAAGUCCUCCAUAUCAAAGCCAAAUUACCAUGACAUAAAUAUUUAUAGGAGGUUUGUUGAGAGAUUAUCAUUGUUAGAUAGGUGGUUAGUUUCAUACUCAGAAGCUUCCUUGUGUCAUUAUUAUAAAUUGUGGAAGCAAAGCCAGCCACAUAUUUGCACAGCCAGAAUGAACAUUCCUUGUUAGCAUACAGUUAUUGUUUGUGUAUCAGACAUAUAUUUUUUAUGUAUGUGCAUUUAGUUGGUGUAUGUGAGCAUGUAAAUAAUGGUCUGCCUUGUGAAUAUUUAAAAAUUGAUCAUUUGUUGUAAAAAAAUUAAACAAAAGCUAGUGCAUUUCUUUGAUACUGUGCUUUUUAAAUUAAAGCUUUUUUAUAUAUGA